Molecule: ribosomal RNA, 108 nt
Filed under: Mecaphesa arida
Lineage: Eukaryota; Metazoa; Arthropoda; Arachnida; Araneae; Thomisidae
Description: partial 16S ribosomal RNA
Source: RNAcentral
CUGUUCGACUUUUAAAUAAUUACAUGAAUUGAGUUCAGACCGGUGUAAACCAGGUCGGUUUCUAUCUUUUUAUUACAGUACGAAAGGACCUAAUAAAUUAAUUUAAUU